Molecule: ribosomal RNA, 250 nt
Filed under: uncultured bacterium
Lineage: Bacteria
Also listed under: 1 other name
Description: partial 16S ribosomal RNA
Rfam family: Bacterial small subunit ribosomal RNA
Source: RNAcentral
UACGGAGGGUGCAAGCGUUGUUCGGAAUUAUUGGGCGUAAAGCGCGUGUAGGCGGCUAUUUAAGUCUGAUGUGAAAGCCCGGGGCUCAACCUCGGAAGUGCAUUGGAAACUGGAUAGCUUGAGUAUUGGAGAGGCAAGUGGAAUUCCUAGUGUAGCGGUGAAAUGCGUAGAUAUUAGGAGGAACACCGGUGGCGAAGGCGGCUACCUGGACCGAUACUGACGCUGAGACGCGAAAGCGUGGGGAGCAAAC